Molecule: long non-coding RNA, 4671 nt
Filed under: Homo sapiens (human)
Lineage: Eukaryota; Metazoa; Chordata; Mammalia; Primates; Hominidae
Description: HSALNT0178621
Source: RNAcentral
UUUUUAAUUGAGACAUAGUCUCGCUCUGUUGCCCAGGCUGGAGUGCACUGGUGUGAUAUCAGCUCGCUGCAACCUCCGCCUCCCAGGUUCAAGCAAUUCUACUGCCUCAGCCUCCCAAGCAGCUGGGAUUACAGGCGCCCGCCACCAUGCCAGGCUCAUUUUUGUAUUUUUAGGAGAGAUGGGGCUUUACCAUGUUGGCGUUGAAUUGGUUAAAGAAUAGUAGAGUAGUGACGAUAAUGAAUAGGCUGUGGGUGGUCAUGUUGAUUCAGAUUAUGAAUCAACAGGCUGGUCUUGAACUCCUGAACUCAGGUGAUCCGCCCGCCUCCGUCUCCCAAAGUGCUGGGAUUAUAGGCAUGAACCACUACACCUGGCCUUAACCACUAUAUUAUACUGGCAUAACAAAAUAAAUUUUGGACCUUUGAAGGUGUUUUUCAUUUGUAAAUUGAUAAUAGCUCCUAUUUAAAAAGAACAUAUGUUCCCUUCUCUCUUUUUUUUUUGACACUGAGUCUUGCUCUGUUGCUCAGGCUGAAGUGCAGUGGCAUGAUCUUGGCUCACAGCAACCUCCGCCUCCAGGGCUCAGGGGAUCCUCCCACCUCCACCUCCCGGGUUCAAGCGAUUCUCCUGCCUCAGCCUCCCAAGUAGCUGGGAUUACAGGUGCCCACCACCAUACCCAGCUAAUUUUGUAUUUUUAGUAGAGACAGGGUUUCUCCAUGUUGGUCAGGCUGGUCUCGAACUCCCGACCUCAGGUGAUCCGCCUGCCUCUGCCUCCCAAAGUGCUGGGAUUACAGGCGUGAGCCAUCCUGCCCGGCCAUAUUAUUUCUUCCUGUACAGUUUUUUAGAGUAAACAGACUAUUUGCUAGUUCGUUCACUUAUUCUAAAAAUACAUUUACUUUGUACCAGGUCCUAUGCUAAGAUCUUGAUAUAUGUUAUGACAAAUAAAACAAAUGUGGUCUACAGACUCAAAGCUUGUCAUCUGGUAGAGGAAAACAGGCAUUGUGUCAGAAAACAAUAUAAUUUAAAAUUCUAUGAAAGAAAUGAGCAGUAUGUGGUAAUAAAGACAACUGACGUGUAAAAUAACAGAUGUUUUUCUUUCUUUUUUUCUUUUUUUGAGAUGGAGUUUUGCUCUUGUUGCCCAGGCUGGAGUGCAAUGGCACGACCUCAGCUCACUGCAACCUCUGCCUCCCAGGUUCAAGCGAUUCUCCUGUCUCUGCCUCCUGAGUAGCUGGGAUUACAGGCAUGCGCAAGCAUGCCCAGCUAAUUUUGUAUUUUUAGUAGAGGUGGGGUUUCUCCAUGUUGGUCAGGCUGGUCUCAAACUCCUGACCUCAGGUGAUCCACCCACUUCGGCCUCCCAAAGUGCUGAGAUUACAGGCGUGAGCCACCACACCCGGCCCAGGUGUUUUUCAAUAUCUAAUUAUGCAUAAAAAAUGAAUGCAGCUCUCUCUCAAACUGUUCAUUGAACUAAAUUCUUCCAGAACCCAAAGUAAGGAAGAUUUGCUUGAAAUCUGAUUAACAGUUUAUAGCUCUAAUAUGUUAAUAAAUCGCACAGCUUUUUUUUUUUUUACACGAUUAGGGGAGCCAGUUAAUACACGAUAAAUGGCAAUGACAUAACUGGGGCUCCAUGUGCCAUCAAAAUUUGGGGUGCUAAAUCAAUAAAUACACAGACACUUGGUCACUGGCUAUCCUUAGGAGCCUGUGGCUAUGUUGCUGGAUGCUUAUGUUCUGUAAUCCUAAAAUACAUAAGUUAUUUUGAUGUACCCUGUAUUGGUGACUUCUCAGUGCCCUCAAAAUGCAAGUGAUUAAAGAAAUCUCCCAAGGUGCACCUUUGUCAAAUCUGUACUUGUAGUAUCCUAGAAGCUUAAAAAAGACAUAUCAUAAUAACUUGUAAUGAUGCCUGACUUAGCCAACUGUCCCAAGACAGUCCUAUUUGUAACAACUCUGUUCCAAAGUUAUGACUUAUAGCCAUAGAAAAUAAAAGGGAGAGAUGGGACUUAGUGCAGCAUUUCCCAAAGUAUGUUCUCUUCUGCUACACACUCCUAGACAAGAGGAUCUCGUAAGUUUGAAAAACUGUGCUCCAAAUCCUCCUCUUGGAGUUUCACAAUACUUAGAAGCAUAGUAAAGGCUCUAUGAAGUCUUAAAAUUAGAAAACCUGUUUAAUCCAGUGUCUGCCAAAUUUAUUUGGCAACAACAUCAUUUUGUAACUUAAAAAUUGUAUAAAUUAUGGUGAAAUAUAUAUAUACCAUAAAGUAUGCCAUUUUAGCCAUUUUUAAGUGUAUAAGUCAUUGGUGUUACAUUCACCAUGCUGUUUCACCAGCAGCACCAUUUCCAAAGGUUUUCAUAACAUAAACAGAAACUUUGUACCCAUUAAACAAUAAGUCCCCAUUCCUCCCUCCUCCCCACAGUCCCUGGUAACUCUAUUCUACUUUCUGUCUCUAUGAAGUUGCCUAAUCUAGAUAUUUUGUAUAUGUAGAGCCAUACAGUAUUUGUCUUUUUGUGUCUGGCUUAUUUUGCUUGGCAUAUUGUUUUUGAGGUUCAUUCAUGUUGUAGUAUACAUCAUAACUUCAUUCCUUUUUAUGGCUGAAUAUAUUCAAUUGUGUAUAGUUUUGUUAACUUUUGAGGAGCACACUGUGGAAAUGCUGAUAAUGAAUCCGUAUGAGCUUUAGUGCCAGUUGGAACCAUAGUUCUAACACAGUCUAGUUAUGUAAGCUUAGAUAAGUCAUUUCACUUUUCUGGGCCUCACUUACUUUACUUAAAAUGGGAAGAAUAUAUUCAUCGAUGGGUUGUUUUUUUUUGUUUUUGUUUUUUUUUGAGACGGAGUCUCGCUCUCUCGCUCUGUCUCCCAGGCUGGAGUGCAAUGACUCGAUCUCGGCUCACUGCAAGCUCUGCCUCCCGGGUUCAUGCCAUUCUCCUGCCUCAGCCUCCCCAGUAGCUGGGACUACAGGCACCCGCCACCAUGCCUGGCUAAUUUUUUUGUAUUUUUUAGUAGAGACGGGGUUUCACCGUGUUAGCCAGGAUAGUCUCGAUCACCUGACCUCGUGAUCUGCCCGCCUCGGCCUCCCAAAGUGCUGGGAUUACAGGCGUGAGCCACCGCGCCCGGCCGAUGGGUUGUUGUAAGAAUUAAUUAAGAUAACUCUCAUAAAUUUCCUUGCAAAAUGCUUGGCCUAUAACAGCUGACAACUGAAUAUUCUUAUCUCCCUUAUAUUGGCAGAAAACAAACAAAGGGAAGAUCAUACUGCAUUAUAAAUUUCUGUAACUAAUAGUAAUCAACAAUUGUCUAUUUUGUUCUACCCAUGCAAACAGACUCUAGCACUGUCCAAUCCUGUACCCACUAGCUACAGCACAAUUUGACAACUGACCACUUGAAAUGUGGCUACUCUGAAUCUAAUUUCAGUUAAUUUAAGUGUAAACAGCCACAUGCAGCUAGUGGCUACUGAAUUGCACAGUGCAGGUCUAGACUCCUAAAGCAGUGCUUCUUUACCUUGGUUUCAUAAUGGGAUCACCUGUGAAGCUUUACAAUACACCGCUGCCUAGGCCCCUUGCCAGAGCAAUUGGAUUUUAAUCUGUGGGCCCAGAACAAGGACGUUUAAAGAGCUCCCCAGGUGAUUUUAAUACAGAGAGAAACACUGCUCUAGUGUUCCCUUUAUACUCUCCCUCUCCCCCAUCAAUUAGUACCCUCAUUUCAAGAAAAAAAGGGCAGUGUUUUUGAUCUGUUGAUAUUUUAUAGAUACUUCUAAUAACUUUCCUUAUAUCUAUGACUGGAUCUAUAACUCCAAGUAUUAUCUGUGUCUCUUCUCUCAAAUUUUUUGUCACUGAUAAAAUAGGGAAUGGCUAAUAUAUACAGUAUUAUCUAUGGAAUCAUAAAUAUGUAUUAAAAGUAGACAGAAAGAAUAUCAACUUCAGGUUAAUCAAGAGAGGGAAGAGGAACAUAGGUAUUGAAAAAUCCAACUGUAGUUAAUGUUCUAUUGAUGUAAAAAUUCUUUUUUAAGUUUUUACUGCUUUUAAUUGUAGAAAUAAAGAGCUAAACCAUAGCAUAACUCUUUUUGCAGUGACAAUUCUGUUCAUAUACAGGGGAUGUUUCUGCUUUAGCUAAAAUCUAAAACUUCAAUAAAUAAGCAACUACCCACCAAUCCCUCAAAUAUGCCUGUACUUGUCACUCUUUUUCUCUUUUUCUUUUUUUUUUUCUUUUGAGACAGACAGGGUCUCUAUAACCCAGGCUGGAGUGCAGUGGCACUAUCACAGCUCACCACAAUCUCAACCUCCUGGACUUGGGUGAUCCUCCCACCUUAGCCUCCCAAGUAGUUGGGACUACAAGUGCGCACCAGCACGCCCGGCUAAUUUUUGUAUUUUUUGGAGAGAUGGGAUUUCUCUUAUGUUGCCCAGGCUAGUCUCGAACGCCUGGGCUCAAGCGAUCCACCUGCCUUGGCCUCCCAAAGUGUUGGGAUGACAGGUGUGAGCCACCGUGCCCGGCCCCCUUCACUCUUCUAUACCACUUAUUUCCAUUUAUGUCUACUUAAAAAGUGGUACUAGACCUAAAGAAGGGGAAAUUGAUUGGGAAGGCUUGCUUUCUUUCUUUUUUUUGAGACAGAGUCUCACUGUUGUCGCCUGGGCUGGAGUAAAAUGGCGCGAUCUCAGCUCACUGCAACCUCCGCCUCCCGGGUUCCAGCAAUUCUCCCG